AGGCCCGUAGCUCAACUGGCAGAGCAGCUGACUCUUAAUCAGCGGGUUCGGGGUUCGAGUCCCCGCGGGCCUACCA
Molecule: transfer RNA, 76 nt
Filed under: Bacteroidota bacterium
Lineage: Bacteria; Pseudomonadati; Bacteroidota
Also listed under: 1 other name
Description: Bacteroidetes bacterium (activated sludge metagenome) tRNA-Lys
Rfam family: tRNA
About the family: Transfer RNA (tRNA) molecules are approximately 80 nucleotides in length.
Source: RNAcentral